Molecule: long non-coding RNA, 1166 nt
Filed under: Anser cygnoides (Swan goose)
Lineage: Eukaryota; Metazoa; Chordata; Aves; Anseriformes; Anatidae
Description: lncRNA (ENSACDG00005015514.1)
Source: RNAcentral
GUUGGCAUGGACUGCAGUGAACGAGCACCGUGUCUCCAUAUGAGAGUGCUGGGUGUGCAUCUUCGCUCUUAGUCUGGGGCAACCCUCGAAACAAAAAGGUUUUUGGGCUUCCAGACCCAGCCAAAGCUCUGAGAAACUAAAAUGGUGCAGUACCCAGCAAUCAACACUGACAAUCUGUAGCUGUGCAUCAAGCUGCUGCCCAGCAGAGCCCGGCGGUGGUGGUGGCGGCGUGAGAAGCAGGAGGGAGAGGAAGGGAUGCUGAGGAGCGGGGUGGUCACAGCGUGGUCAGGAGAGGUGGCCAAGUCCAACAGGGGAUCUUUGCUAACACAGUGGCAUAGCCGUGUGCUCAUCCCCAGGUCUGCUCAUCUUGCACACUGGAUUAGCAGAGGCAUGCUAAAAGCAGCAGACUCAGGCCUUCGCUGGAGGACAAAAGUCAGUUCAGGGGACCUGAUGAAACAAAUCCACAGGAAUUGGACUCUUCAUGCAUUGCAAACUGAAGAAAGGGCUAAAUCCAUGUGCUACAGAUGCUUGCUGAGUGCAGUUGGACGCAUAUUUCCAGGAACAGAAACUCACCCUACUGUAGAAGUAUCUCCUUUCAGAAACACGGUAUCUUGUUGUAAAGCUGAGUUUGAAGCAGAAGCAACACCUGCUGGUGAAAACGAAGUCUACGAAACUGCUGAGCCAUCCUCCUGGAAGAACAGUUUAAAAACAAAGUGAACUUUGCAACGCAGAGACGUGGCCAAAACUUUCAACUGAUAGCCCUGCACAAAUGCAAACAGAACAGCAACUCUUCGACUUUAAAACAUUCACUCACAAAGGAAAUGUAAUUACAGUGAAAGAUAUUUAGUUGAAAGAGUUGUUAGCUUUCACAAGAAUCCCGAAAAAAUGGCCGAAGCAGCAGUGUGAGUAUAUUAACAUUUCUCCCCCGAAAAUGGAUUCGAAUGAUGUGUUAGGCCCCAGUGUGGGUUAUCUUAAGAUGGGGAGAAAAUCAAGCACAGUAAGUCAUCUCUACUUGGAAGAUGCAGAAGAGAAAUGCUGACAACUGGUUGUACCGUUUGGAGGGUAAGCAGCCCAUGGAGGAAACAUGAAUACACUCUUCUGCAGGGUCUAAUUCUGCACAGUGUUGUUGCUCUCUGGGAUAAAUAAUAAAGUGAUCCUCGAUUUCA